This 21-nucleotide non-coding RNA is filed under the name Caenorhabditis elegans. Lineage: Eukaryota; Metazoa; Nematoda; Chromadorea; Rhabditida; Rhabditidae. The record is from RNAcentral.
UUGAGAAACGAUCACAAUUUU